Girardinichthys multiradiatus is the source of this 1150-nucleotide long non-coding RNA. RefSeq lists it as uncharacterized. NCBI's taxonomy places the organism in Eukaryota, Metazoa, Chordata, Actinopteri, Cyprinodontiformes, Goodeidae. The transcript has 2 exons. The record is from RefSeq and is a predicted model, not a curated record.
GAAAGCGGCCGGUCUCCGUCAGCUGACGCGCCGCUUCUGCUGCCGACAUCUUACCUCCGAAACGGAGGAGACACGGAGUCCGAGUUUUACGGUCAAUCACUCUGAUAACGUGAUGUCGGGUCCGCGGGAACUGAAGGACGCAGUCGGGGAACAUCGUUGCUGCCCACGGAGGAGCCUUCUAUCCUCCUUCCCUUUAUCCAUCUCUCCUUCCCUGUUGUGUUCAGGGGAUCUUCGGCAGCUCCGACUCCGUGUGUCCAUGCAGACGGUUUUCAUCUCUUGUCAUGGCGAUUUCCUGCGCAUCAUGACAUGAUCAGAAACUCGUCUCUUCAGGUUUUAAACCCGUCGUAUUUCAUGUCUGUUGUAGAGUUGCAGAUGAAAUCAGUCUGACCAGCAGGUGACGCUGCUGCUCAUGAUGAUUAAUAGACGGACCUUUAUCUUUGUAUCUGGUGGUGGCGCCGCUGAGCUGCAGCUCUGUGGUUUUUUUAGGUUUUGAUUUUUGUAGCGUUGGUUGAGAAAAUCAGAACCUAAAGAAAAUACAGCGUUGUGUUUGAGCAGCAGGAAUCCUGAAGACGUUCAUCAACAACCCUCAGACCAGACCAUGAGCUCUGAUUCCAGGAUCGAUCCCGGAUCUUGAACUUCUCAUAGGCUCCCCACUGAGCCUAUAGGGGGUCCAUGUGGCGUUCAUGUGGAGUCCAUUAGUCUUUCAGGACAAACUGUUGAAAACCUUCAGUUUCGGUGCUGCUGUCGUCAGAUCUGGACUAGGACUGGAUCAAACAUAAGGCUGUGGUCUGACUGGGUUAUUUAAUACCAUUUAUCUCCAGGGAUCUCCUUACUAGAAACAUUUAGAGUCCUCAGAAUGUUCAAACAUUUGAAUCUCAGAAACAUUUAGCCAGUCCCACUGUUGGCUUUUAGAAUGAACCAGAACAUUUACUGCUGAUGGUUCUGCAUCAAGUAGUUCUAGGUCGGGCUUUAACAUAGGGGUUUUAGGGUGAAUAUACUGGAAUGUGAGAGGGUUCAGUCAAUCAGAGGAUACCUGAUUGACUGAACCUUUUGGGUUUUAUUGACUGAAAUGUUCAGCUCUGAUACUGUUAGUUGAGUUUUAUUCAUCAAUGAGGUGGGGGAGGUUACAAUAAAGUUUUUCAAAACUUUG